GCGGGGAGGGAGGGAGUAAAGUUAAUACCUUUGUUCAUUGACGUUCCCCGCAGAAGAAGUACCGGCUAACUCCGUGCCAGCAGCCGCGGUAAUACGGAGGGGGCAAGCGUUAAUCGGAAUUACUGGGCGUAAAGCGCACGCAGGCGGGUUGUUUAGUCAGAUGUGAAAUCCCCGGGCUCAACCUGGGGACAGCAUUUGAUACGGGCAAGCUUGAGGCUCGCAGAGGGGGGUAGAAUUCC
RNAcentral lists this ribosomal RNA (239 nucleotides) under Escherichia coli. Its description in RNAcentral is "partial 16S ribosomal RNA". It matches the Rfam family "Bacterial small subunit ribosomal RNA", at positions 439 to 670 of the family's 1533-position model. Lineage: Bacteria; Pseudomonadati; Pseudomonadota; Gammaproteobacteria; Enterobacterales; Enterobacteriaceae. The record is from RNAcentral.